GACGAACGCNGGCGGCGUGCCUAAUACAUGCAAGUAGAACGCUGAAGGGAGAGCUUGCUCUUCUGGAUGAGUUGCGAACGGGUGAGUAACGCGUAGGUAACCUGCCUGGUAGCGGGGGAUAACUAUUGGAAACGAUAGCUAAUACCGCAUAACAUUGACUAUUGCAUGAUAGUCAAUUGAAAGGUGCAAAUGCACCACUACCAGAUGGACCUGCGUUGUAUUAGCUAGUUGGUGGGGUAACGGCUCACCAAGGCGACGAUACAUAGCCGACCUGAGAGGGUGAUCGGCCACACUGGGACUGAGACACGGCCCAGACUCCUACGGGAGGCAGCAGUAGGGAAUCUUCGGCAAUGGACGGAGGUCUGACCGAGCAACGCCGCGUGAGUGAAGAAGGUUUUCGGAUCGUAAAGCUCUGUUGUAAGAGAAGAACGAGUGUGAGAGUGGAAAGUUCACACNGNGACGG
This 463-nucleotide ribosomal RNA is filed under the name uncultured bacterium. Its description in RNAcentral is "bacterial SSU rRNA". It matches the Rfam family "Bacterial small subunit ribosomal RNA", at positions 28 to 475 of the family's 1533-position model. The record is from RNAcentral.